Molecule: ribosomal RNA, 482 nt
Filed under: uncultured Latescibacterota bacterium
Lineage: Bacteria; Pseudomonadati; Candidatus Latescibacterota
Description: bacterial SSU rRNA
Rfam family: Bacterial small subunit ribosomal RNA
Source: RNAcentral
UUGACGGGGGCCCGCACAAGCGGUGGAGCAUGUGGUUUAAUUCGACGUAACGCGAAGAACCUUACCAGGGCUUGACAUCUUCUGACUGCUUAGGAACUUAAGCUUCCGGGGAGUUUACUUUCCGGACAGAAAGACAGGUGGUGCAUGGUUGCCGUCAGCUCGUGUCGUGAGAUGUUGGGUUAAGUCCCGCAACGAGCGCAACCCUUAUCCCCAGUUGCCAUCAGGUAAAGCUGGGAACUCUGGGGAGACUGCCGGUGAUAAACCGGAGGAAGGCGGGGAUGACGUCAAGUCCUCAUGGCCCUUACAUCCCGGGCUACACACGUGCUACAAUGGCAGGUACAGAGGGCUGCGAAGCCGCGAGGUGGAGCGAAUCCCAGAAAACCUGUCUCAGUCCGGAUUGAAGUCUGCAACUCGACUUCAUGAAGGCGGAAUCGCUAGUAACCGCGAAUCAGCAGGUCGCGGUGAAUACGUUCCCGGGCCUU